GGUGUGGCUGAGGCAGAAGGUGUAACCAAAUAUGAUGCAGGUGAAGCUGCUGCAGAUCAGAAAGAGCAAAAAGGUUCAACAACCAUGAAAUCCUAGCUGAGGACGUGCGAGACUGGGAUAUAGCCAGUGACCGGGGGCAAGGGCAGCGUGCGCAGGGUGAUCGACGAGGACUACUGCGGCCCGAUGGGAGUCGUGCUCUUCAACUACUCGGACGCAGACUUCACCGUGAAGCCCCGCGACCGCGUCAUACAGAUUAUCGUCCAGGUGAUUGCGACGCAGGAGGUCCCCGGGUUGGAGGACCUCGACGCCACCGUCCG
Triticum urartu is the source of this 317-nucleotide long non-coding RNA. RefSeq lists it as uncharacterized. NCBI's taxonomy places the organism in Eukaryota, Viridiplantae, Streptophyta, Magnoliopsida, Poales, Poaceae. The record is from RefSeq and is a predicted model, not a curated record.